AGUGAACGCUGGCGGUAGGCCUAACACAUGCAAGUCGAACGGCAGCACAGUAAGAGCUUCCUCUUACGGGUGGCGAGUGGCGGACGGGUGAGGAAUACAUCGGAAUCUACUUUUUCGUGGGGGAUAACGUAGGGAAACUUACGCUAAUACCGCAUACGACCUACGGGUGAAAGCAGGGGAUCUUCGGACCUUGCGCGAUUGAAUGAGCCGAUGUCGGAUUAGCUAGUUGGCGGGGUAAAGGCCCACCAAGGCGACGAUCCGUAGCUGGUCUGAGAGGAUGAUCAGCCACACUGGAACUGAGACACGGUCCAGACUCCUACGGGAGGCAGCAGUGGGGAAUAUUGGACAAUGGGCGCAAGCCUGAUCCAGCCAUACCGCGUGGGUGAAGAAGGCCUUCGGGUUGUAAAGCCCUUUUGUUGGGAAAGAAAAGCAGCAGGUUAAUACCCCGCUGUUCUGACGGUACCCAAAGAAUAAGCAUCGGCUAACUUCGUG
RNAcentral lists this ribosomal RNA (492 nucleotides) under uncultured bacterium. Its description in RNAcentral is "partial 16S ribosomal RNA". It matches the Rfam family "Bacterial small subunit ribosomal RNA", at positions 29 to 507 of the family's 1533-position model. The record is from RNAcentral.